Non-coding RNA from Phasianus colchicus (ring-necked pheasant), 1248 nucleotides. NCBI's taxonomy places the organism in Eukaryota, Metazoa, Chordata, Aves, Galliformes, Phasianidae. The record is from RefSeq and is a predicted model, not a curated record.
CUGUAGGGCUGGGGGCUGUGCACAACGUGGCCGUGUGGGCCGUGAGCUAGGGCUGCUUCCACUGCCUCUGCUGUGUGUCAGCUACUCAGCGACAGAGCCGCCAUGGGGCAGGAUUACUACGCCGUGCUGGAGCUGAGCCCCACCGCCACGGACGCCGACAUUAAGAAGGCGUACCGCCUGCUGGCCUUGGAGAACCACCCGCAGAAAUGCAAGGAGCCGUGGGCAUGGGAGCGGUUCCGGCUGCUGGCAGAAGCUUAUGAUGUGCUGAGUGACCCCGUAAGGAGAGGCAUCUACGAUAGGUUUGGUGAGGAAGGUCUCAAAGGUGGCAUCCCUGUGGAGUCUGGUGGUGAGGAUGCUUGGACUGCUGGUUAUGUGUUCCACAACAACCCCGACAAAGUCUUCAAGGAGUUCUUUGGAGGACACAACCCCUUUGCAGAGUUCUUCACCAAGGAUGCCUUGGAGGUGACCCUGCCCUUUGGAGGGCUGCAAGGAAGAGGCGUGAUGAAGCAGGACCCCCCGAUGGUGUGGGACCUCCACGUCUCCCUUGAAGAUCUCUUCUUUGGCUGCACCAAGAAGAUGAAGAUCUCCCGCCGGGUGAUGAACGAAGACGGCCAAACGAGCACCAUUAAGGACAAGAUCCUGAUCAUUGACGUGCAGCCAGGGUGGAAGCAAGGCACCAGGGUCACUUUUGAGAAGGAAGGAGACCAGGGCCCUAACGUCAUUCCAGCCGACAUCACCUUUGUUAUCCAAGAGAAACCUCACCCGAGGUUUAAAAGAACCAACGACAACCUCAUUUACGUGGCCAAUAUCCCCCUGGGAAAGGCACUGAUUGGCUGCACGGUGGAUGUGAGGACGCUGGACGGGCGGCUGCUGAGCAUCCCCAUCAAUGACAUCGUGCACCCCACGUACUGCAAAGUGGUGCCUGGGGAGGGGAUGCCUCUGCUCAAGGACCCACGGCGUAGGGGUGACCUCCUCAUCCACUUCAAUGUCUGCUUCCCCAAACGCCUCACGCCCGACAAGAAGCUGCUCCUGAGGAAUGCACUGCUGUCCUAGGAGCUGUCAGCCUUCUGCUUUCCUCCCAGUGAGGCUGCCAGCACUGUGAGUGAGCAUUCCCUGGUUUUGGGCUGCUCCCCUCUGGCAAGAUCAGAAUCAUUGAGGAAAAGACCACGAGGAUUGUAACCCAACUGCACCUCCGGACCAGGAGAAAAACUUCACCCUCUCUUAUAAUAAAAAUAAGGUGACGGAGCC